Molecule: ribosomal RNA, 449 nt
Filed under: uncultured bacterium
Lineage: Bacteria
Description: bacterial SSU rRNA
Rfam family: Bacterial small subunit ribosomal RNA
Source: RNAcentral
UGGGGAAUAUUGGACAAUGGGGGCAACCCUGAUCCAGCAAUGCCGCGUGUGUGAAGAAGGCCUUCGGGUUGUAAAGCACUUUAGGCUGGGAAGAAGCGUAGUCGUUUAAGAGAUGACUAUGUUGACGGUACCGGCAGAAUAAGCACCGGCUAACUCUGUGCCAGCAGCCGCGGUAAUACAGAGGGUGCAAGCGUUAAUCGGAGUUACUGGGCGUAAAGGGCGCGUAGGCGGCCGCGUAAGUUAGAUGUGAAAUCCCUGGGCUUAACCUAGGAACUGCAUUUAAGACUGCGCGGCUGGAGUACAGUAGAGGGCAGUGGAAUUUCCGGUGUAGCGGUGAAAUGCGUAGAGAUCGGAAGGAACACCAGUGGCGAAGGCGGCUGCCUGGACUGAUACUGACGCUGAGGCGCGAAAGCGUGGGGAGCAAACAGGAUUAGAUACCCGCGUAGUCC